AGAAAGGUGAGAUGAGAGGAGGGGGCGGCUUCAUAAGAGAAAUUAGGGUUACUCCCCAUUUCAAAAAAGACUUUUGAUGAUAGGGAUGAGCAUAAUUUUCCAUGGUAGGCUAUAAUUUAAUUACGCUAUAAUUUUCCAUGGUAGGCUAGGCAUCUGGUGACGGAAGUCAUAAAUCGCCAUUGCCUGAGCUUUACCCUGCAAACUCUAUGCCAGAUUGGGCAAAUAUGCCUAAUGUAAGCAUGAAGGAGACGAAAGAUCUAGCAAUCUCAUUGAAGCCAAGAAUCACCAGAACCUAGCCUUCC
RNAcentral lists this unclassified non-coding RNA (302 nucleotides) under Hevea brasiliensis (rubber tree). Lineage: Eukaryota; Viridiplantae; Streptophyta; Magnoliopsida; Malpighiales; Euphorbiaceae. The record is from RNAcentral.